RNAcentral lists this ribosomal RNA (253 nucleotides) under uncultured bacterium. RNAcentral's name for it is "partial 16S ribosomal RNA". It matches the Rfam family "Bacterial small subunit ribosomal RNA", at positions 524 to 776 of the family's 1533-position model. The record is from RNAcentral.
UACGUAGGGUGCAAGCGUUGUCCGGAAUUAUUGGGCGUAAAGAGCUCGUAGGCGGUCUGUCGCGUCGAAUGUGAAAACCCGGGGCUCAACCCCGGGCCUGCAUUCGAUACGGGCAGACUAGAGUUCGGUAGGGGAGUCUGGAAUUCCUGGUGUAGCGGUGAAAUGCGCAGAUAUCAGGAGGAACACCGGUGGCGAAGGCGGAUCUCUGGGCCUUACCUGACGCUCAGGUGCGAAAGCUAGGGGAGCAAACAGG